GUGGCCUAGUGGUUAGAGCAUCCGCCUCGGAUGCGGGAGAUAGUGGGUUCAAUCCCCGGCUAAGUCA
Potamilus streckersoni is the source of this 67-nucleotide non-coding RNA. NCBI's taxonomy places the organism in Eukaryota, Metazoa, Mollusca, Bivalvia, Unionida, Unionidae. The record is from the annotation of a GenBank genome assembly.